This 343-nucleotide ribosomal RNA is filed under the name uncultured fungus. Its description in RNAcentral is "eukaryotic LSU rRNA". Lineage: Eukaryota; Fungi. The record is from RNAcentral.
AACGCACAUUGCGCUCUCUGGUAUUCCGGAGAGCAUGCUUGUUUGAGUAUCAGUAAAACACCCUCAGCUUCUGUCUCUUUUGAGACGGGAACUGGACUUGAGCGAUCCCAACGGCAGUAGAUCUUUCUACUAUCGGCGGGUUGCUUGAAAUGCAGGUGCGGCUGGACACAUCUUCUGAGCUAUAAGCAUUACUUAUUUAGUCCCGUUAGACGGACUAUUACUAUUGCUACAGCUAAUAUAAAGGUCGAUUGUCCGUUUUGCCCGACUGAUGCAGGAAUUGUCAGAGGCUCUGUCCUUUGUUCAACUCGAUCUCAAAUCAAGUAAGACUACCCGCUGAACUUAA